Molecule: ribosomal RNA, 403 nt
Filed under: uncultured bacterium
Lineage: Bacteria
Description: bacterial SSU rRNA
Rfam family: Bacterial small subunit ribosomal RNA
Source: RNAcentral
UAGGGAAUAUUGCUCAAUGGGCGCAAGCCUGAAGCAGCAACGCCGCGUGGAGGAUGAAGGUUUUAGGAUUGUAAACUCCUUUUGUGAGAGAAGAUAAUGACGGUAUCUCACGAAUAAGCACCGGCUACUCCGUGCCAGCAGCCGCGGUAAUACGGAGGGUGCAAGCGUUACUCGGAAUCACUGGGCGUAAAGAGUGCGUAGGCGGGGUUGUAAGUCAGGUGUGAAAUCCUAUGGCUUAACCAUAGAACUGCAUUUGAAACUGCCACCCUAGAGUGUGGGAGAGGUAGGUGGAAUUCUUGGUGUAGGGGUAAAAUCCGUAGAGAUCAAGAGGAAUACUCAUUGCGAAGGCGACCUGCUGGAACAAUACUGACGCUGAUUGCACGAAAGCGUGGGGAGCAAACAG